Molecule: ribosomal RNA, 1438 nt
Filed under: uncultured organism
Description: SSU rRNA
Rfam family: Bacterial small subunit ribosomal RNA
Source: RNAcentral
CUUAACACAUGCAAGUCGAGGGGCAGCAUGGUCUUAGCUUGCUAAGGCCGAUGGCGACCGGCGCACGGGUGAGUAACGCGUAUCCAACCUGCCUUACACUCUUGGACAGCCUUCUGAAAGGGAGAUUAAUACAAGAUGUUAUCAUGAGUAAGCAUUUUCGCAUGAUUAAAGGUUUACCGGUGUAAGAUGGGGAUGCGUUCCAUUAGAUAGUAGGCGGGGUAACGGCCCACCUAGUCUUCGAUGGAUAGGGGUUCUGAGAGGAAGGUCCCCCACAUUGGAACUGAGACACGGUCCAAACUCCUACGGGAGGCAGCAGUGAGGAAUAUUGGUCAAUGGACGAGAGUCUGAACCAGCCAAGUAGCGUGAAGGAUGAAGGUUCUAUGGAUUGUAAACUUCUUUUAUACGGGAAUAAACGGAUCCACGUGUGGAUUUUUGCAUGUACCGUAUGAAUAAGGAUCGGCUAACUCCGUGCCAGCAGCCGCGGUAAUACGGAGGAUCCGAGCGUUAUCCGGAUUUAUUGGGUUUAAAGGGAGCGUAGAUGGGUUGUUAAGUCAGUUGUGAAAGUUUGCGGCUCAACCGUAAAAUUGCAAUUGAUACUGGCAGUCUUGAGUACAGUUGAGGUAGGCGGAAUUCGUGGUGUAGCGGUGAAAUGCUUAGAUAUCACGAAGAACUCCGAUUGCGAAGGCAGCUUACUAACCUGUAACUGACAUUGAUGCUCGAAAGUGUGGGUAUCAAACAGGAUUAGAUACCCUGGUAGUCCACACGGUAAACGAUGAAUACUCGCUGUAGGCGAUAUACAGUCUGCGGCCAAGCGAAAGCAUUAAGUAUUCCACCUGGGGAGUACGCCGGCAACGGUGAAACUCAAAGGAAUUGACGGGGGCCCGCACAAGCGGAGGAACAUGUGGUUUAAUUCGAUGAUACGCGAGGAACCUUACCCGGGCUUAAAUUGCAACCGAAUAUGGCGGAAACGCUAUAGCUAGCAAUAGCGGUUGUGAAGGUGCUGCAUGGUUGUCGUCAGCUCGUGCCGUGAGGUGUCGGCUUAAGUGCCAUAACGAGCGCAACCCUUGCCGAUAGUUACUAACAGGUCAUGCUGAGGACUCUGUCGGGACUGCCAUCGUAAGAUGUGAGGAAGGUGGGGAUGACGUCAAAUCAGCACGGCCCUUACGUCCGGGGCUACACACGUGUUACAAUGGGGGGUACAGAGGGCUGCUACCACGCAAGUGGAUGCCAAUCCCAAAAACCUCUCUCAGUUCGGAUUGAAGUCUGCAACCCGACUUCAUGAAGCUGGAUUCGCUAGUAAUCGCGCAUCAGCCACGGCGCGGUGAAUACGUUCCCGGGCCUUGUACACACCGCCCGUCAAGCCAUGGGAGCCGGGGGUACCUGAAGUGCGUAACCGCAAGGAGCGCCCUAGGGUAAAACUGGUGACUGGGGCUAAGUC